Molecule: ribosomal RNA, 254 nt
Filed under: uncultured bacterium
Lineage: Bacteria
Description: partial small subunit ribosomal RNA
Rfam family: Bacterial small subunit ribosomal RNA
Source: RNAcentral
AGGACGAACGCUGGCGGCGUGCUUAACACAUGCAAGUCGAGCGGAAAGGCCCUUCGGGGUACUCGAGCGGCGAACGGGUGAGUAACACGUGAGCAACCUGCCCUUAGCUUCGGGAUAGCUCCGGGAAACCGGAAUUAAUACCGAAUAUGACUUUGGCUGACAUCAGCAGAAGUGGAAAGUUUUUCGGCUAGGGAUGGACUCGCGGCCCAUCAGCUAGUUGGUGAGGUAACGGCCCACCAAGGCGACGACGGGUA